UAGUCAUAUGCUUGUCUCAAAGAUUAAGCCAUGCAUGUCUAAGUAUAAGCAAUCUAUACGGUGAAACUGCGAAUGGCUCAUUAAAUCAGUUAUCGUUUAUUUGAUAGUACCUUACUACUUGGAUAACCGUGGUAAUUCUAGAGCUAAUACAUGCUAAAAACCCCGACUUCGGAAGGGGUGUAUUUAUUAGAUAAAAAACCAAUGCCCUUAGGGGCUCCUUGGUGAUUCAUAAUAACUUAACGAAUCGCAUGGCCUUGUGCCGGCGAUGGUUCAUUCAAAUUUCUGCCCUAUCAACUUUCGAUUGUAAGGUAGUGGCUUACAAUGGUUUCAACGGGUAACGGGGAAUUAGGGUUCUAUUCCGGAGAGGGAGCCUGAGAAACGGCUACCACAUCCAAGGAAGGCAGCAGGCGCGCAAAUUACCCAAUCCCGACACGGGGAGGUAGUGACAAUAAAUACUGAUACAGGGCUCUUUUGGGUCUUGUAAUUGGAAUGAGUACAAUUUAAAUCCCU
RNAcentral lists this ribosomal RNA (510 nucleotides) under uncultured eukaryote. RNAcentral describes it as "SSU rRNA". It matches the Rfam family "Eukaryotic small subunit ribosomal RNA", at positions 21 to 534 of the family's 1831-position model. The record is from RNAcentral.